Molecule: ribosomal RNA, 89 nt
Filed under: uncultured bacterium
Lineage: Bacteria
Description: partial 16S ribosomal RNA
Source: RNAcentral
GGGGGGAUAACAGCUGGAAACAGCUGCUAAUACCGCAUAAGCGCACAGCGGCGCAUGACGCAGUGUGAAAAACUGAGGUGGUAUAAGAU